RNAcentral lists this ribosomal RNA (199 nucleotides) under uncultured bacterium. RNAcentral's name for it is "partial 16S ribosomal RNA". It matches the Rfam family "Bacterial small subunit ribosomal RNA", at positions 328 to 539 of the family's 1533-position model. The record is from RNAcentral.
ACGCUCGACACCUACGGGNGGCAGCAGUCGGGAAUAUUGCGCAAUGGAGGAAACUCUGACGCAGUGACGCCGCGUAUAGGAAGAAGGUUUUCGGAUUGUAAACUAUUGUCGUUAGGGAAGAGAAAGGACAGUACCUAAGGAGGAAGCUCCGGCUAACUACGUGCCAGCAGUCGCGGUAAUCUGAGCGGGCUGGCAAGGC